This 442-nucleotide ribosomal RNA is filed under the name uncultured bacterium. RNAcentral's name for it is "partial 16S ribosomal RNA". It matches the Rfam family "Bacterial small subunit ribosomal RNA", at positions 338 to 795 of the family's 1533-position model. The record is from RNAcentral.
CCUACGGGAGGCAGCAGUGGGGAAUAUUGGGCAAUGGGCGCAAGCCUGACCCAGCAACGCCGCGUGAAGGAAGAAGGCUUUCGGGUUGUAAACUUCUUUUAAGGAGGAAGAGCAGAAGACGGUACCCCUUGAAUAAGCCACGGCUAACUACGUGCCAGCAGCCGCGGUAAUACGUAGGUGGCAAGCGUUGUCCGGAUUUACUGGGUGUAAAGGGCGUGCAGCCGGAGAGACAAGUCAGAUGUGAAAUCCACGGGCUCAACCCGUGAACUGCAUUUGAAACUGUUUCCCUUGAGUGUCGGAGAGGUAAUCGGAAUUCCUUGUGUAGCGGUGAAAUGCGUAGAUAUAAGGAAGAACACCAGUGGCGAAGGCGGAUUACUGGACGAUAACUGACGGUGAGGCGCGAAAGUGUGGGGAGCAAACAGGAUUAGAUACCCGUGUAGUC